This 1014-nucleotide long non-coding RNA is filed under the name Vigna radiata. RNAcentral describes it as "long non-coding RNA (VRAD_LNC013814)". The record is from RNAcentral. Lineage: Eukaryota; Viridiplantae; Streptophyta; Magnoliopsida; Fabales; Fabaceae.
UUUUUCUUCUUCCUGCUAAAUUCCUUCAUAAAGUUGAGAACACCAAGCACAUGUUUCCAUGUUUCAACCAUAGGAAUUUUAAUCUCCAAUUUCUUGAAGAUCUCCAUAAAGUACUUGACUUUCUUUUUCUUCCUAUGAUAUUUCCUUUGAUGAGGAAGGGGUCUUUCAUGUGAUCUUUUCUUCUUUCCUCUCUUCCUCUUUUUCUCAAUCUUCUCCUUCAACUUUCUCUUUUUCUUUUUUCUUUCUUUCUUUAUUUUCAUACUUUUUUUUUUCUUUUUUCUUUUUUCUCAACCACUGCUUUUUCUUUCCUCUCAUCUUUAUCUUCCUCACUCAACCUUUCGGUUUCUUCCUCCUCUAUUUUCUCCUCAUCUAUCUCUAUCUUUUCUUCAUCUAUCUUCUCCUUAGCAACAACUUUUUCUGUUUCUAUCUCUUCUAACUUUUUCACUUCUCUCUCCACCCUCUCCUCAUCAACAACCUCAUCAAUUUGUGUCUCCAAAUUCCUGAAGGUAACUUUAUAGUUCUUGGAAUCACACCUCUCCAAAAAUUUGUCGAACCUUUCAUUAAUGCUUUUCACUUGUUCUGUCACAUCAGCUAUCUGUUGGCAAAGUUGUUAAUCAUACUCCCAUGUUUCUAUUGGUGAAGAGUAUUGUUGUUGCCACUGAUAUUGUUGCCUUUCUUCCAUGCGUCUAUGAGAAGAACAUCUUGUAUACAUGUCUUGUGGAAAGAAUUUGUCAUUCUUUAUAUUCUCCUCUAUGCCUUUGACAUGGUAUACUUCCCUAUUUUUGAUCCUCUGGAAAAGUUCUUCAAAGUCUGUGUUUUUUUUAUUGGUCUAAUUUGUGGCUCAUCAGCUUGCCCAAAUUGACUUUGAUCCACGUAUGAGUGAGGUUCCCACCAGUGGUUGAAAUUAUUUUGGUAGAAUUGAGUGCCCAUAUAAUCAAAUUCUUGUCUAAACUGCAUUCUGCAAACGUUAGUCACAAAACCCUAGAGAACAUUUAUUAAAACAAAAAUAAAAAU